GUCAGUUUGGCCGAGUUGGUUAAGGCGACAGACUUGAAAUCUGUUGGGCUACGCCCGCGUAGGUUCGAAUCCUGCAGCUGACG
RNAcentral lists this transfer RNA (83 nucleotides) under Coemansia sp. RSA 1722. Its description in RNAcentral is "tRNA-Ser". It matches the Rfam family "tRNA". From Rfam's summary of the family: Transfer RNA (tRNA) molecules are approximately 80 nucleotides in length. Their secondary structure includes four short double-helical elements and three loops (D, anti-codon, and T loops). Lineage: Eukaryota; Fungi; Kickxellomycota; Kickxellomycetes; Kickxellales; Kickxellaceae. The record is from RNAcentral. RNAcentral also lists the same sequence under 2 other names.